Long non-coding RNA from Perognathus longimembris pacificus (Pacific pocket mouse), 695 nucleotides. RefSeq lists it as uncharacterized. The transcript is spliced from 3 exons. Lineage: Eukaryota; Metazoa; Chordata; Mammalia; Rodentia; Heteromyidae. The record is from RefSeq and is a predicted model, not a curated record.
UUUGAGUUGUUUCCAAAGAAACAACUCAAUGGAGAUCUGUCUUUCAAUUCUAAACCUCCAUGUUUUAAAGAAAAUAUGACAUGAGACAUUUUAUGAAAAAAUCCCCCUACCGCAGAAGUAAAUAAAUAAAUGCAGAUUUAUGAAAUGAAACAAACGAUAUGAUUCCAAAUUAUCCACAAUAAAAAUAUUUUUAAAUGUUCUCAAAACAUUACAAGUUUACACAUUUCAACACAAAGAAAUCAGCAAAAUUUUAAAUAUGGUACUUAUGCACAAAGCCAGACAAUAUUUGUGUGUUUCAUGGGAAUGACGUAUUGUACAUAAGAGGGUCAGUGUAACGUACAAGAAAAGGUGAAAGAAAAAAAAAGGGCCAUUUUUCCUUGUAAUGAUGGACAGCUGACAGACAACUCAUUUGAGAACAUCCAAUGAUCAGAGUAGUCUUCACAAUGAAUCCUAUUUUGUCAUGUCAUUAGCAAAAGUAGCAGAAAGUAAUCAUAAUUUUCACUUUCAUGACUACUUAUACUAGUUUACUGAUAGCUCCUGAAUGUGUCAGAACACCUUAUUCCUUGAUGAAGACUUAAAUCUGGUGAAGUGGUGACUGUAUGACUUGGAGUAAAGUGCUUUUCCUUACCCAUCUUGUUUUCUACCCAGAAAUCCUUCAGUUUCUAUAAUGAAAUGUGAUGUUAAGGGAAAUGAAC